Molecule: long non-coding RNA, 7256 nt
Organism: Heterocephalus glaber (naked mole-rat)
Lineage: Eukaryota; Metazoa; Chordata; Mammalia; Rodentia; Bathyergidae
Source: Ensembl
CAUAUUUGUCAUGCAUAUUGAUCACAUUCAUCAUAGGGAAUUUGUACCUGUACAUGAUAUAUCUUGAUUCUUCUAUUUUUUCCCCAUUUCUCUCCCCUCACUUCAACCCUUCUUCCUGGGUGACAGUUUCAGAAAAUAUCUUGUGGUUCAGCCUCUUGCUGAGUUUACUCAGCCUUUUCUUAGUGGAGAUGUGGCUGCAUCCUGAAACUGCUUCCCCUCUUUAAGUCUUUCUUCCUGUGUGAUGUCAGGAUAAUAACAGUACCCAACUUACAAGGUUGUUUGGAUCUUUAAAUAAGAUUGAGUAAUCAGGGAGGCUGGGGGUAUAGCCCAGUGGUACAGAGAUUGCUUAUGAAGCUUUCAGGUUGGGUUUUGUUUUGUUUUGCUUUGUUUUGUUUUUGCCAGUACCUUGAUGUCAAUUGCUAGCUGCCAACUUCAGGGCUCAUGUGAUCCUCCUGCCUUAGCCUUCUGACUAUCACCCCAACAAGAGCAUGUACUUGGUCCCUAGGUUUAAUUUCCUGCACAAAAAAACAAUUUUUUUUGAGUAAUAGACCACUAUGAAGAUGUUAAAAAGAAUAAGGUAGUAUGGCACUGUAUCAAAAAAUUAAACAGAAUUAACCAUAAAAUUAAAACAUAAAGUUCUACUUCUGGCUAUACCCCAAAUUGAAAGCAGAGACUUGAAAAGAUGGUUGUAUCCCAUAUCCAUAGUAGCAUUAUUCACAGUACCAAAAAAUAGAGCAACCCAAAUGUCCAUCAGCAGAUGAAUGGAUAAACAAAGGGUGGUAUUUACAGACAGAAAUAAAAUAGAGGUUUCGAGGGCUGUGAGGGGAGGAGGGAGUGAAGAAUUGUUAUUUAAUAAGUACAUACUUUUUUUCAGUUUGGGAUAAUGAAGUUUUUGGAGACAGAUAGUGGUGUGGUUGCAAAUUGUGAUUAUGCUUAUGGCCACUAAGCUCCACACUUCAAAAUGGUUAAGUCUGAGGUGAAGCUCAGUAGCAGAGUGUAUACUUAGCAUAUGCAAGACCCUGGGUUCAAUCCCCAGCACUAAAAAAAAAAAAAAAAGGAUUAAAAAUGGUAAAUUUGAUGUAUGCAUAUCUUACUAAAAAGAAAAAAUGGCUACAAUGAUAAAUUUUAUGUUGUACUAUAUAUUCUUUACCACAUUAAAAAAGAAAAUAUUUAUAUACUAUAGAAAGAUACCCAAGGUACAUUAUUAAGAGGAAAAGGAACUUAUAGAACUGUAUGUAUUGUGUUACUACCAUACUGGUUAUUCUGAAAAGCCAUACACAGCUGAAUGAGUUUGAAGCAUGCAUGUCUAUGUAUGAAUGCAUAGCAGAAGUCUGGAGGAAAACCUACUGGUCUGAGGAAUUAUGGAGUACAAAAGAGAAUGACUUCUGCUUUCUUUCUUUCUUUUUUUUUUUUUUGAGACAAGCUCUCGCUAUGUAGUUCAGCAGGCCUCUAACUCAUGAGGAUCUUCCUGCCUCAGCCUCCUGAGUGCUGGUAUUACAGGCAUGCGCCAUCACACCUGGCACCUUUUACUUUUUAUUCCAUUAAUUCUAUUUUUGACUUUUUGUGGUUCUAGGAAUUGAAUUGGAGGUGCUCAGUCACUGAGCUGUACCCCCAGCCCAAGUUAGGAGUUUUUUAAUAAAAGAGUAUCCUUAGGGCAGGUAUGGUGUAUCUCUAAUCCCAGCUACUGGAGAGGCUGAGACAGGAGGAUUGCUUAAGCCCAGGAACUCAAAGCCAGCCUGGGCAAUAUAGUGAAACCUCAUUUCGAAAACAGAAAAGCUGAUCAUGGUGGUGCAUGCCUAUAAUCCCAGCAUUCUGGGAGGCUGAGGCAGGAGGAUUGAAAGUUCAAGCUCAGGAUGGGCAAUUUAGUGACUUAGUGAGACCUUGUCUCAAAAUAAAAGAGGGUAGGGAGAGGAUGUAGCUCAGUGUGAAGGCCUUGGGUUCAAUCCCCAGUACUGAAAAGGAAGGAAGGGGAAGGAGGAAGGAAGGAAGAGAAUGUACUUGGCACUGGAAUUUAAAAUUUUAACUGUAAAGAGCCCUGUGUGGAGCCUGGCACCAAGUAGGUGCCAAAGAAACCCCCGUCUGAUGUCAGGGAGGCUAGUCUAACCCUUCUGAUGUACCUGUGGCGUCUUGGAAUUGUGUGUGGGAGACUAGAGCCUGUGUUUAUUUGCUGUUUGUCCUCUGCUCCUCCCUCUCCUUCCUGACAUGGUUUCUAUGGAGACAAGGGUCCUUCAGCGGUUCUGUGAGCUGCAGUCUCAUCAUUGAGAUCUGUCUUUGCUAUCCCGACAGGUUGCUGAGGUGAUGCUGUAACCCAACGGGGAACGGAGCCCUGGCCUGAGCUGAUGUGGUUGCCAUGGAGAUAGCUCUUGGCAAGAGAGAAGGGAGGCGACAUGCCCUCACUGAGUUCUGCGGUGGCACUGUGGCCCAGCUGGGCUGCUGCUCAAGAAUCAUAACACCAGCCUUUCCUAUCUGGUCUCGUUCCCCAUCCUCAUGUUUUAGGCAGAAAGCCAGUGUCCACGUUGAUGUGAUUUGCUGUAACACAGCUGCUGUGCCUGAGCCUUAACCUGUACCAGGGACCGCUCCCAGCCUUGUGCAUGUGUCCCCUCUCGGUUUAACCCUUCACAGCUUCCCCCCUACACGAGGCUGUUGUCUCCAUUGUGUAGGUUCUACUUUUUUACUUGGCUUUUUUUUUUUUUUUCUUUCUGUGAUACUGGGGUUUGAGCCCAAGGCCCUUAUCCCCAGAUUCUUGGCAGUUUUUGAAUUGUAAUUUAAUUCACAGACUAUACAAUUAACCAUUUUAAAGUGAUUUUUUUUUCUUUUCUUUUUUUCUUAGUGUAUUUGUGAUGUUGAGCAAGCAUCACUGUGAUCUAAUUCCAGAAUAUUUCAUUGUCCUCAAAAGUAAUCCCAUACCUGUUAGGAAUCACUCCCUGCUCCCACUUCCCUCCAGCUCUUGGCAACCUCUAAUCCACUUUCUGUCUCUAAGGAUUUGUCUGUUCUGGACAUUUCAUUCAAAUGGAAUUAUGCAAUAUGUAAUCUUUGGUGACAGGCUUCCUUUACUUAGCAGAAGGCUUUCAGGGUUUAGCUGUCCAUGUUGAAGCCUGUUUCAGGGCCUCAUUCUUUUUUAUGGCUGAAUAAUAAUCCAUUGUAUGGAUAGACCACAUCAUGUUUGUUCGUUAGCAGUUGAUGGACAUCUGUAUUGUUUCUACUUUGGGGCCACUGUGAAUAAUGCUUUCACGUUUCAACUUGAACUUUCAUGUUCAAGCUUCCAUGAAUAUGUGUUUUUAGUUCUCUUGGGUAUAUAUCUAGGAAUAGAAUUGUUGUAUAUUACUGGAGCUGAGGAAAGACAAAGAUAGAAUUCAGACUCAGGACUCUUAUAUUUCUUAAACCCUCUCUGACUCCUACAGUGAUGCUCCUGCUUUCCAUGCCCUAUUCGGGGGCUUUUCUAAGACCCUUGCCUGUUUUCAGAUCCUUUAAGAGUUUAUUCACUCUAAUGACAACCUCCCUGUCUGGCUAGGGUUUCUCAUCCACAUUUCCCACCUGAUGGCAGAGGAAGAGUGUUGACCAUGGUGCCUGACUGCUGGAGUUCAAAUCCCACUUCUGCUGUCUUCCAGUGCAGUCUAACCCUGGUCUGUGUGCUGCAGGGCAAACCCAGACUCAAAGCCACACAGGAUUGGGUUCGAAUCCUGGCUUUGCCACUUAUUUGGAAGUGACUGUAACCUUGAGCAAAUCAUACAAGUGCUUGAUGCUCUGUUCAUUUAUAAAAUGGUAACAUUUAUCCAUACUUUCAGAGGUGUUUGUGGGAAUGUAAUGAGACAAGCAGGUAAAGUGCUCGGUAGGCUUAUUAAAUACAGAACAUGUUAUCAUCAUUACCAUCACAACCACCGUGCUGGCGAAGCCUUUGGCUAGUUAAAUCAGUAUUUCUGCUGCCUCUUGAGAAGAGCUGUCUGUGUUGAGCUGCCUAUUGCUUGUGGAAGGAGCAGCUGUGUUGCAAGCCAUUGUCUGCAGGUGGUACUGUGUAGCAAUGACAUUUGAUUUGGGGCUGUUUGGCUAAACCUCCCUAAAUGAUGGUGAUGUUCCCCUAACCAGAAACCAUACAGCCUGUCUGCAUGGCUGUUUCAGCCAUUCUGGAGGAAGAAAGCCUCCGUCUUUGAGGUGUACUCCCACACCAGUUCCCUCCUGGAGUCAGUUUUGUGCACACUGCAGUCUGUUUUCAGGGAGACUUUUCUGGACAUCUCCCCUCCCCCAUUUGCUGAAAAUCUGCCCAGCUGUUUUGGCAGCAGGCUCACUUUGGUCCUCGGAAGGUUGUACUCUGAGUCUUGGCAGCAUAGAAAGUGCCUGGGGGACAGAAAGCCCCUCAGAAUAGCUCUUUGGCAGCUGAGGGGUCUUGGGAACAAGAGAGCUCAGGGUUCCACUAGGAGUGGUCAGACCAGGGAUGCUUAGAGGUGUCGCCCUGGCUGCUCCAAGUUGGCCCUGUGAGUUGCUAUUGGGUGGGGAAGGCCGUGCCGCUUGUUAGGCCAGAGGGUGCCCUUUGCCUGGGUCCUUCCCUGAGCCUUGUGGCUACAUUCCCCCGUCCCACCCUCCAGGGGCCCAGAGCCAAAACAUCUGCCUCAUGGGCGGAGAGACUAGUUCCACCCUUGAGGACACCACAAAAGAAUUCUAACAGACCCUGGCACUCUUGAGGGGUGCAGAACCCCCAGCCGCCUGGCCAGCUGCUGCCCUGUAGUGGGGAGGGAGGUCUUUGUGCUCUCUGUGCCUGCCUUGUUUUCCCUCCAGAGCCACAGAGCCUUUGGAGCCCAAGUGGCUUUGACAUGGUGGGGGGGAGGGUCAGGUACAAGGCUGAGUGGCUGGAACCACUUUGGCCUUGAGAGCUGCUGCUUGGCCUCUCCUUUGGUGCCCUUCACCUUUGUGGUGAGGUUCAACCCAGUUAGCCCUCUUGCACCUUUUCACUGCCUCAGUAGUUCUCAGUGACUCCUUGGGAAAGCAUAUUUAAAAACAAAUUAUGACUGGGCCAGGGAUUUAGCUUAGUGGUUCUGCCGCCUGCCUGGAAAGCACAAGGUCCUAAGUUUGAUCCCUGGUACCAAAAAAAAGUUAUGACUUUCAGUGUCCCCCAACAGAUGGUGGUACAUGCUUAGCAGAGAAAGAUUAGAAAGUACAAUGAGCUGUAAGGAAAAAAACUCACCUAUAAUCCAGUAUUUGGAGGGAAUGUCUAUUUGAGUGGCAGAUUGUACUUCCAGUAAGUGUUUCCAUGCCUACAUAUGAAAAUAAUACAUAUAAUAAUAAUUAUAUAUGUAAUUUUAAAAUCUAAAUAAUAUAAACUCAGUGAAGCAAAAAUCUCAUUACAGAAGCACAUAAAUGCAUGCCUAGCAUACCUUUCGGGAAAGUUACCAGCCAGCUCUGGUUACAUUGGCUGCCUAGGGGCAGGAGAGCUGGGGCUGGGUUCCCUGUGUCCCUCUUUGUGCUCUGAAUUUUGAACCAUGUGAAUGUGGCAUCUACUCAGAAGUGGUAGAACUAAUAAAACCGUAUAUAAAAUAAGAAAGCCAUCCCUAACCACCUCCCUUACUUCUGCUUCUCAGCUUCACCCAUGAUUAACAGUUUGUUUUUUUAUCUUUCCAGGUCUCUAUGCUCAGGUAAUGCACAUUCUUGUUGUUUUUUAAAAUAAAGAUACAGGUAUAUUGUAGACACUGUUUCUGUAAUGUACAGGAUCAUAUUGCAUGAAUAGAGACGUUUUGUUUAACGCUGGAUGUUUUGUUUUCCUCUGCCUAAAUGCUUAUUAUAAAAUCAAAGAUCGCAGAAUCCAGUAAGCAUAAGAAGAAAAGUCCAAAACAGCACCCUCUAUUUUGGUGUUUUAAAUACAGAGCCAGAGGUCUAAAAGGAGCUUCAUAAGGGCCCUUCAAAGGCCCUCAGGGAAGGGAGGAACACCAGAGGCUUGGAAAAGGGGCAUUUUGGCUUUAUCUACUUAGUGCAUAUUUUGUACAGUGAAAAUGUAUUCUUGUGUAUUAAUUGAUUUUUAAGAAUUUUGUAGUUGACACUAGUGUACGCCUGUAAUUCCAGCACUCUAGGAAGCUGAGGCAAGAAGGUCCCACAUUGCAGCCCAGCCUGGCCAACUUAGCGAGACCCUGUCUCAAAAUAAAAUAUAAAAAGAGCUGGGGAUAUAGCUCAAUGCAAAAACCUUGGGUACAGACCCCAGUACCACAUACGCACACGCACGCACACACACACACACACACACAUGCACACACACAAAAGUAUGCUAUUAAAAAAACUUUAAAGGAAAAACUCUGAAGACCAUGUUCCCCAUCCUCCUCUCAAAAAAUAAGAUAAAAUAAAAUGAAAUUGUAAAGUGGAAGGGAAAAGUGCAAGUGCUCUGUGUCUUCACAGUGCCAGCCUCUGCUGUAGUGCACCUUAUCCCCACAUGGACACACGUUUCUGUAACAGUGAUAAUAGGCUUUCAGGUUUGUUUUCAGUAACAGUUAUUAUUGAGCUAUAAUUCACAUACCCUGAAGUUUAUGAAGUUUGUCUUUUCUCUUUGUUUUACAGUGGUAGGCCUGACACAUGCUCAGCAAGCGCUGUACCACCAAGCUGCACUCCUAGCUGAAGUUUAUCUUUUUAUUUUUAUUUUUGGUACCAGAGAUCGAACUCGGGUCCUUGUGCUUGCGAGGCACCAAGUUUAUCUUUUUAAAGUGCACAGUUCCAUAGUUUCUAGUGUACUCAAACAGUUGUGCAAUCAUCACCACUGUAAUUCUAGGACAUUUUUGUCACCCCUAAAAGAAACCUCUUGCCCAUGAACAGACACUUCCCAUUCCACCCUUCCCUAGCUCUUGCUGUCAUUCUACUCUGCCUGGUGUAUUUGCCUCAUUUGGGCAUUUCAUGUAAAUGGAACCAUGUGAUAUGUGCCCAGCUUUGUUCCCUUUGGAUGGUGUUUUCUGCACACCAUGUGGUAGUGUGUGUCAGGACUAAAUUCCUUUCCUGGCUGUAUAAUUUUCAGUUGUGUCACUAGACCUCAUUUUGUUUAUCUGUUCCUCCGUUGGUAGGUGUAUUUGGCUUGUAGGUUUUGUUUGCAGGUUACUUCCCCUUACCAGGUGUCAUGGAGACUUUACAUGUUAGCAACUCUCAUGACCUCCAGUCCCUUUUGAUUGCUGUGCAUUGAUCCUCAGUGUGAUACUCAGUGCCUUUAGAGACCCCUGGGUUAGCCUUGUAUCACUUCACUUCCUUCAGGGAAUCAGAUAGCUUAAGGGGUUUUUGGUCACUUAACCCAUGGC